GACGAACGCUGGCGGCGUGCCUAAUACAUGCAAGUAGAACGCUGAAGAGAGGAGCUUGCUCUUCUUGGAUGAGUUGCGAACGGGUGAGUAACGCGUAGGUAACCUGCCUGGUAGCGGGGGAUAACUAUUGGAAACGAUAGCUAAUACCGCAUAACAGUAGAUGUUGCAUGACAUUUGCUUAAAAGGUGCAAUUGCAUCACUACCAGAUGGACCUGCGUUGUAUUAGCUAGUUGGUGAGGUAACGGCUCACCAAGGCGACGAUACAUAGCCGACCUGAGAGGGUGAUCGGCCACACUGGGACUGAGACACGGCCCAGACUCCUACGGGAGGCAGCAGUAGGGAAUCUUCGGCAAUGGACGGAAGUCUGACCGAGCAACGCCGCGUGAGUGAAGAAGGUUUUCGGAUCGUAAAGCUCUGUUGUAAGAGAAGAACGAGUGUGAGAGUGGAAAGUUCACACUGUGAC
This 463-nucleotide ribosomal RNA is filed under the name Streptococcus sp. oral taxon 064. RNAcentral describes it as "bacterial SSU rRNA". It matches the Rfam family "Bacterial small subunit ribosomal RNA", at positions 28 to 473 of the family's 1533-position model. The record is from RNAcentral. Lineage: Bacteria; Bacillati; Bacillota; Bacilli; Lactobacillales; Streptococcaceae.